GAGUUUACAACUCCCAACCCGUGUGAACAUACCCAAGUUGCUUCGGCGGCUGCCCCGGCGCACCCGUGCCCGGAACCAGGCGACCGCCGGAGACCUAUAACCACUGUUUCAGUCCACUGUAUAUCUUCUGAGUCAAAAAACAAAUAAAUCAAAACUUUCAACAACGGAUCUCUUGGUUCU
This 180-nucleotide unclassified non-coding RNA is filed under the name rhizosphere metagenome. RNAcentral describes it as "partial ribosomal RNA internal transcribed spacer region". The record is from RNAcentral.